GAUGAACGUUGGCGGCGUGUCUAAGGCAUGCAAGUCGAGCGACGGACCCACUUCGGUGGGGGACCGAGCGGCAAACGGGUGAGUAACACAUUGGUAACCUACCUCCGAGACGAGAAUAGCUCAUCGAAAGAUGAAUUAAUGCUCGAUGGUCACCACAUGCCAUAUGGUAUGUGGUGUAAACCUCCGGGGCUCGGAGAGGGGCCUAUGUCUGAUUAGCUUGUUGGUAGGGUAAUGGCCUACCAAGGCGAUGAUCAGUAGCAGGCGUGAGAGCGUGACCUGCCUCACUGGGACUGGGACACUGCCCAGACUCCUACGGGAGGCUGCAGUCAAGAAUAUUCCACAAUGGACGAAAGUCUGAUGGAGCGACGCCGCGUGCAGGAAGAAGCCCUUCGGGUGUAAACUGCUUUAUAUGGAAGAUUUAGUGACGGUACCAUAUGAAUAAGAGGUUGCUAACUCUGUGCCAGCAGCC
RNAcentral lists this ribosomal RNA (469 nucleotides) under uncultured bacterium. RNAcentral's name for it is "bacterial SSU rRNA". It matches the Rfam family "Bacterial small subunit ribosomal RNA", at positions 28 to 516 of the family's 1533-position model. The record is from RNAcentral.